This 258-nucleotide ribosomal RNA is filed under the name uncultured bacterium. RNAcentral's name for it is "partial 16S ribosomal RNA". It matches the Rfam family "Bacterial small subunit ribosomal RNA", at positions 29 to 312 of the family's 1533-position model. The record is from RNAcentral.
AGCGAACGCUGGCGGCAGGCUUAACACAUGCAAGUCGAGCGGGCGUAGCAAUACGUCAGCGGCAGACGGGUGAGUAACGCGUGGGAACGUACCUUUUGGUUCGGAACAACCCAGGGAAACUUGGGCUAAUACCGGAUAAGCCCUUACGGGGAAAGAUUUAUCGCCAAAGAAUCGGCCCGCGUCUGAUUAGCUAGUUGGUGAGGUAACGGCUCACCAAGGCGACGAUCAGUAGCUGGUCUGAGAGGAUGAUCAGCCACA